UAUGUGUGUGUGUGCGUGUUUGUGUGUGUGUUAUAUAGAUUAUAUAGUGAACUUAAAAAAUCUUCUUGUGAAAAACCACUAGUCCAAUUUCAACCAAACUUGGCAGGAUUGUUUCUUGGGUGAAGGGCUUCCAAAGUUGUUCAAAGAAUUUCAUUCCUUGCAGAAAUCUGGUUGCCAUGGCAACCAAAAGGAAUUAUAAGAAUAAAUUUAAAAAAAUUUCUUGUAAAGACCCAAAAGGCCUAAAGCUUAGAUAUUUUGCAUAAGGCAUUGUCUGGUAGACCUCUAACAAGAUUGUUCAAAUUAUAGCCCUGGGGUCAAAAUUGGCCCCGCUCCGGGGUCAUUGAUUUUCACUAUAUGUACAUAUAUUAAAAACUUAAAACACCUUUUUGUAAAGACCCAAAAGGCUUAGAGCUUAGAUAUUUUGCAUAAGGCAUUGUCUGGUAGACCUCUACCCAGAUUGUUCAAAUUAUAGCCCUGGGGUCAAAAUCGGCCCGCCCCAGGGGUCAUUGGUUUAUCCUAUAUGUAUAUAGUUAAAACUUAAAAAAUCAUCUUCUCUAAAUUUACAAAGGAUAAAGUUAAGAUAUUUUGCAUGAAACAUUGUGUAGUGAACCUCUAGCAAGAUUGUUCAAAUUAUAGCCCUUGGGUCAAAAUU
Long non-coding RNA from Ruditapes philippinarum (Manila clam), 652 nucleotides. RefSeq lists it as uncharacterized. The transcript is spliced from 2 exons. The record is from RefSeq and is a predicted model, not a curated record. Lineage: Eukaryota; Metazoa; Mollusca; Bivalvia; Venerida; Veneridae.